CCUACGGGGGGCUGCAGUCGAGAAUCUUCCGCAAUGGACGAAAGUCUGACGGAGCGACGCCGCGUGCAGGAUGACGUACUUCGGUAUGUAAACUGCUUUUGCCAGGGAGGAAGUAUAUUGACGGUACUUGGCGAAUAAGAGGUUGCUAAACUCGUGCCAGCAGCAGCGGUAAUACGAGUGCCUCAAGCGUUAUCCGGAAUUACUGGGCGUAAAGGGUGCGUAGGUGGUCUUGUUAGUCUGGUGUUAAAUUCUGUGGCUUAACCGCAGUUUCGCACUGGAAACGGCAAGACUUUGAGGACGAGAGAGGUCUGUAGAACUCAUGGUGUAGCGGUGAAAUGCGUUGAUAUCAUGGGGAAUACCAAAAGCGAAGGCAGCAGACUGGAGCGUUCCUGACACUGAGGCACGAAAGCGUGGGUAGCGAAUGGGCUUAGAUACCCGUGUAGUC
Molecule: ribosomal RNA, 445 nt
Filed under: uncultured bacterium
Lineage: Bacteria
Description: bacterial SSU rRNA
Rfam family: Bacterial small subunit ribosomal RNA
Source: RNAcentral